Long non-coding RNA from Gadus chalcogrammus (walleye pollock), 779 nucleotides. RefSeq lists it as uncharacterized. The record is from RefSeq and is a predicted model, not a curated record. NCBI's taxonomy places the organism in Eukaryota, Metazoa, Chordata, Actinopteri, Gadiformes, Gadidae. The transcript has 3 exons.
ACCAGACCGCCUGACCAGCUGGUUCACACCACACCGCUGCUCAGUGGGAGCCCAGACAGGCAACCCUAAGACUGGAAGGGGAAUGCUGAGCCAGGUGGCAAUGGGAUGUUGAAGGUGAUGUUGAACAGAGUCUUUAGGAUCUCCAUGGCUCGCUCCGUCUGCUCUCUGCUGAGAGGAGGAAGCUCUUCUGGAGGAACGCCUUCUGAGCCCGCCCGGGCACUCUCAAAGUGCCGAUGCCAGCUAUGGCCGCCAGGGUGGCCAUGGCGGAGUGGCUGACGAAGGGCCCCAGGCAGUGCUUGUCCCGGGACAGAAUGCGCACAGUCUCCACACAAGCCAGCUGACAGGAGGGCUGCAGCUCCCUGGUCAGGAAGCCAAGCACCAGCUUCCCAAGACGCUGAAGACAAACACUCUGUCCAUUCACUAUGCUAUGAUGUUAGCUAUAUGUUUCUGCAGCGGGUACUGGACUACAAUCAUUUCUACUCUAUAGUCACUUUCAGUCAAAUAAUACUGAUGUUCAAAUCGAACUCAUCUAACUCUAACUCAUGACUUUUUCCCACAUUGCUACUCUUAUUUGACAUCUUCAUGUUUAAUUAUCAUUAAAAAGAAAGAAGCAUUUUCAGAAAUAAACUGCAGUCUAUGAGCGUUCUAACUAGUUGCUUCUACAUCAGUACCUCCGAUAGCUUUCCUUCCUGGAGCCCCAGAGAAGGCACAGGGACAAAGAUGAUACAACACAGGUAGGAGUGCAAAGGAAUUAUAAUCAGAAAAUCUUUAGUAGGAGU